This 364-nucleotide long non-coding RNA is filed under the name Trifolium pratense (red clover). Its description in RNAcentral is "long non-coding RNA (TPRA_LNC010395)". Lineage: Eukaryota; Viridiplantae; Streptophyta; Magnoliopsida; Fabales; Fabaceae. The record is from RNAcentral.
UGGUCGAACCACUGGGUCACUGGUCGAACUGCAUGAUAAACCGGAUUAAAUCGGAUUAAACCGGUGGAAUAAACCGGUCUUUAUAAUAAAACUACCUAGUUAUAUAUGGGCUUUGCUUAAAAAAAAUACGGGCUUAAACAAGUAACAACCUAAUACCCAUCUCUUAAAAUAAGACUAUAAAUUGAAACAACCCUAAUUAUCUAUUGUUUGUUGUCACUUGUCAGCCGCUGCCUCCUCUUCUUCUUCUACUUCUCCAAAAUUUAUUCUUCACUUCUCCCUUCUACUCCCUUCUAUGUUGCUGCUACUUCUAUUCCCACAAGAAUACAUCAUUAAAACUUAUGAGAAGUAAUAACAUGAACAUGAA